RNAcentral lists this ribosomal RNA (555 nucleotides) under Rhodotorula glutinis. RNAcentral's name for it is "partial 26S ribosomal RNA". Lineage: Eukaryota; Fungi; Basidiomycota; Microbotryomycetes; Sporidiobolales; Sporidiobolaceae. The record is from RNAcentral.
CAUUCCACCAGCAUCCUAAGCGUGAAAAAGACGAGUCUUUCGCAAAAAGCACGCUGCGUUCCUCAGUCCCCCAGGAUGUAUCCAACGGAAAGCUAUAACACAGCCGAGACUGCUACCUUCAAACCGUCAUUAUCCACCCCGGAAAACUGAUGCUGGCCUGCAAACCGAAGCAAGCUCCGGCAAGCAAGUCUGACUUCAAGCGUUUCCCUUCCAACAAUUUCACGUACUGUUAACUCUCUUUCCAAAGUGCUUUUCAUCUUUCCCUCACGGUACUUGUUCGCUAUCGGUCUCUCGCCAAUAUUUAGCUUUAGAUGGAAUUUACCACCCAAUUUGAGCUGCAUUCCCAAACAACUCGACUCAUUGAAAGUGUAUCACAAAGCGCUGGGCGUCCGCACCAUAUACGGGGGUUUCACCACUAUGCCGCUGUAUUCCAACAGACUUGUGUGCGGUCCAACGCGGAAAACACUUCUAGAGAUUACAACUCGGACACCGAAGGUGCCAGAUUAUAAAUUUGAGCUCUUCCCGCUUCGCUCGCCGCUACUAGGGGAAUCCUUG